AGCUCAGCUGGAUAGAGUGUUUGGCUACGAACCAAAAGGUCAGGGGUUCGAAUCCCUUC
This 59-nucleotide transfer RNA is filed under the name Clostridia bacterium. RNAcentral's name for it is "tRNA-Arg". It matches the Rfam family "tRNA", at positions 9 to 63 of the family's 71-position model. From Rfam's summary of the family: Transfer RNA (tRNA) molecules are approximately 80 nucleotides in length. Their secondary structure includes four short double-helical elements and three loops (D, anti-codon, and T loops). The record is from RNAcentral. Lineage: Bacteria; Bacillati; Bacillota; Clostridia.